RNAcentral lists this ribosomal RNA (467 nucleotides) under uncultured bacterium. Its description in RNAcentral is "bacterial SSU rRNA". It matches the Rfam family "Bacterial small subunit ribosomal RNA", at positions 28 to 533 of the family's 1533-position model. The record is from RNAcentral.
GAUGAACGCUGGCGGCAUGCCUAACACAUGCAAGUCGAACGGUGCCUUCGGGCACAGUGGCGCACGGGUGAGUAACACGUGGGAACCUGCCUUUCGGUUCGGAACAACGUCUGGAAACGGACGCUAACGCCGGAUACGCCCAUCCAGCGAUGGUUGGGGAAAGUUUACGCCGAGAGAGGGGCCCGCGCCGGAUUAGGUAGUUGGUGGGGUAACGGCCUACCAAGCCGACGAUCCGUAGCUGGUCUGAGAGGAUGAUCAGCCACACUGGGACUGAGACACGGCCCAGACUCCUACGGGAGGCAGCAGUGGGGAAUAUUGGACAAUGGGCGCAAGCCUGAUCCAGCAAUGCCGCGUGAGUGAUGAAGGCCUUAGGGUUGUAAAGCUCUUUCGCACGCGACGAUGAUGACGGUAGCGUGAGAAGAAGCCCGGCUAACUUCGUGCCAGCAGCCGCGGUAAGUACGCAGCGA